GAUGAACGCUGGCGGUAUGCUUAACACAUGCAAGUCGAACGGAAUGCUUCGGCAUUUAGUGGCGGACGGGUGAGUAACGCGUGAGAACAUGCCUUUAGGACUGGGACAACAGUUGGAAACGACUGCUAAUACCGGAUGUGCCCUUCGGGGUGAAAGAUUCAUUGUCUAAAGAUUGGCUCGCGUCAGAUUAGGUAGUUGGAGUGGUAACGGCACACCAAGCCUGCGAUCUGUACUUGGUCUGAGAGGAUGACCAGGCACACUGGAACUGAGACACGGUCCAGACUCCUACGGGAGGCAGCAGUGGGGAAUUUUCCGCAAUGGGCGCAAGCCUGACGGAGCAAUACCGCGUGAGGGAGGACGGCUUUUGGGUUGUAAACCUCUUUUAUCAGGGAAGAAAAGAUGACGGUACCUGAUGAAUCAGCAUCGGCUAACUCCGUGCCAGCAGCCGCGGUAAUACGGAGGAUGCAAGCGUUAUCCGGAAUUAUUGGGCGUAAAGCGUCCGUAGGUGGCUUAGUAAGUCUGUUGUCAAAGCGUGCGGCUCAACCGCAUACGGGCAAUGGAAACUAUAGAGCUAGAGUGCGAUAGGGGUCACAGGAAUUCCCAGUGUAGCGGUGAAAUGCGUAGAUAUUGGGAAGAACACCAGCGGCGAAAGCGUGUGACUGGGUCUGCACUGACACUGAGGGACGAAAGCUAGGGGAGCGAAAGGGAUUAGAUACCCCUGUAGUCCUAGCCGUAAACGAUGACAACUAGGUGUGGUUCGUAUCGACCCGAGCCGUGCCGUAGCCAACGCGUUAAGUUGUCCGCCUGGGGAGUACGCACGCAAGUGUGAAACUCAAAGGAAUUGACGGGGGCCCGCACAAGCGGUGGAGUAUGUGGUUUAAUUCGAUGCAACGCGAAGAACCUUACCAAGGCUUGACAUCCUCGGAAUCCUCUUGAAAGGGAGGAGUGCCUUCGGGAGCCGAGAGACAGGUGGUGCAUGGCUGUCGUCAGCUCGUGUCGUGAGAUGUUGGGUUAAGUCCCGCAACGAGCGCAACCCACGUUUUUAGUUGCCAUCAUUCAGUUGGGCACUCUAGAGAGACUGCCGGUGACAAACCGGAGGAAGGUGUGGAUGACGUCAAGUCAGCAUGCCCCAUACGCCUUGGGCUACACACGUACUACAAUGCGUUGGACAAAGAGCAGCAAGCUAGCGAUAGCAAGCCAAUCUCAUAAACCAACGCUCAGUUCAGAUUGCAGGCUGCAACUCGCCUGCAUGAAGGCGGAAUCGCUAGUAAUCGCAGGUCAGCAUACUGCGGUGAAUACGUUCCCGGGCCU
This 1311-nucleotide ribosomal RNA is filed under the name uncultured bacterium. Its description in RNAcentral is "bacterial SSU rRNA". It matches the Rfam family "Bacterial small subunit ribosomal RNA", at positions 28 to 1381 of the family's 1533-position model. The record is from RNAcentral.